This 468-nucleotide ribosomal RNA is filed under the name uncultured bacterium. RNAcentral describes it as "partial 16S ribosomal RNA". It matches the Rfam family "Bacterial small subunit ribosomal RNA", at positions 28 to 507 of the family's 1533-position model. The record is from RNAcentral.
GACGAACGUUGGCGGCGUGCUUAACACAUGCAAGUCGAACGGAAAGGCCCUGCUUUUGUGGGGUGCUCGAGUGGCGAACGGGUGAGUAACACGUGAGUAACCUGCCCUUGACUUUGGGAUAACUUCAGGAAGCUGGGGCUAAUACCGGAUAGGAGCUCCUGCUGCAUGGUGGGGGUUGGAAAGUUUCGGCGGUUGGGGAUGGACUCGCGGCUUAUCAGCUUGUUGGUGGGGUAGUGGCUUACCAAGGCUUUGACGGGUAGCCGGCCUGAGAGGGUGACCGGCCACAUUGGGACUGAGAUACGGCCCAGACUCCUACGGGAGGCAGCAGUGGGGAAUAUUGCACAAUGGGCGGAAGCCUGAUGCAGCAACGCCGCGUGCGGGAUGACGGCCUUCGGGUUGUAAACCGCUUUCGCCUGUGAUGAAGCGUGAGUGACGGUAAUGGGUAAAGAAGCACCGGCUAACUACGUG